UAAAAUAAAGAUUAGAAUUAAAAUUUAAAAAAAAAAAUAAAUGAUAAGACACUAAAGAAAAUAACAGGCUGAAAAUUAAUUAAACAUCCAUUGCAUAAGGAAAAUGAGACAUGGAAACACAUGAAAUGUAAAGAUAUACUUAAUGCAUGAAAUGUAAAAAGUAAAUUAAAUUAAAAAAAAGAUGCAUGAAAUGUAAAUUAAAAAAAAUGAAUACUAAGUAUCAUAGCACGUCAUCACCAAAUCAAUACUUUAAAAAAAAUGUAUGACAUUAAUAGAAAAAUAAGUUAAAAAACUACUACUUUGGAUGCAAGCGUGAAUAGGAAAUGAUGCACCAGAAUUUGCAAAAAUAUAAUGAAACAUUACAAGAUGCCGUGCUCUAAGAAAAGAAAUAAAUGGCUGCAAAAAAGAAAUCCUAGCCUACAUCCCGAAUUGAAUUCAACGCCUCCUUUUUCUCUAAAGCAAGUGAAAUAAUUCUCUUCUUCCAAAAGAGAAUCACCGCAUCGGCCCCCCUCUCCACGUCACCAUGCAUCUCCAAGAUAAAUGAAGGUUGGCCGUGCACCACUUCUGGAAGAAAAUGGAUAAUUGCCUCCACAAAAUAAAUCAUAUCUAGCACCCUACGCCAUGGGACAAUCCUUUACUAGAUGAAAUUAAACUUAAAAUUAUCGCUGCACCACCCAAUAAAUAAAGAAAAAAAAAGAAUUGAAAUCACCAUUGAAUAUUGCAAUGCAGGUGGCGGCUUCAUCAUUCCAGCCAUUCAAUGAAAAUGGAAACCAUACAUUCACACAUAAUGAAGAACAGUUCACUUUUCUAAAAGAAGGCAAAUACUUAAAAAUAAUUUUUUCUACCCUGAACGGAGACUUCAAUAAAGCAAGAUUGAAUUUAGCUAAUAUCAAU
This 894-nucleotide long non-coding RNA is filed under the name Vigna radiata. RNAcentral describes it as "long non-coding RNA (VRAD_LNC008206)". The record is from RNAcentral. Lineage: Eukaryota; Viridiplantae; Streptophyta; Magnoliopsida; Fabales; Fabaceae.